UUAGCUCAGUGGUAGAGCACUUGCCUAUUAUGUAUGAGGUCCUGGGUUAAAUCCCCAUA
RNAcentral lists this transfer RNA (59 nucleotides) under Ictidomys tridecemlineatus (thirteen-lined ground squirrel). RNAcentral's name for it is "Spermophilus tridecemlineatus (thirteen-lined ground squirrel) tRNA". It matches the Rfam family "tRNA", at positions 7 to 64 of the family's 71-position model. Rfam says of the family: Transfer RNA (tRNA) molecules are approximately 80 nucleotides in length. Their secondary structure includes four short double-helical elements and three loops (D, anti-codon, and T loops). Further hydrogen bonds mediate the characteristic L-shaped molecular structure. tRNAs have two regions of fundamental functional importance: the anti-codon, which is responsible for specific mRNA codon recognition, and the 3' end, to which the tRNAs corresponding amino acid is attached (by aminoacyl-tRNA synthetases). tRNAs cope with the degeneracy of the genetic code in two manners: having more than one tRNA (with a specific anti-codon) for a particular amino acid; and 'wobble' base-pairing, i.e. permitting non-standard base-pairing at the 3rd anti-codon position. The record is from Rfam by way of RNAcentral. Lineage: Eukaryota; Metazoa; Chordata; Mammalia; Rodentia; Sciuridae.